Molecule: long non-coding RNA, 5660 nt
Organism: Phocoena sinus (vaquita)
Lineage: Eukaryota; Metazoa; Chordata; Mammalia; Artiodactyla; Phocoenidae
Source: Ensembl
AUCUGAAAAAUGUACUGUUUAAAUAUACCAACAUUUGACUGUUUAUCCAUCUCUCUGUUAAAGGAUGAGGUUUUGUGGUUUGUUUCCAGUUUGGCUAUCACAGAUAAGCUUACUAUGAACGUGUACAUAAAAUUCUUUAUAUGAAUAUAGGGAUUCUUAGUCUAAAGUGAAUGGCUGUACCCAUUUGCAUUCCCAUCGGCAGUAUGGGAGCAUUCCAGGUCCCCUGUAUUCCUUACCAGAACUAGGUAGGUAUGGUCUGUAUUUUUUUUUUUUUUUUUUUUUUUUGGUCUGUAUUUUUAAUAUUAUCUGUUUUAAAAGUGUGGAGAUGUAUCUCACUGUGGUCUGAUUGCAUUUCCCUAGUGAUUCAUGAUGUUGAACAUUUUUGUGUUCAUUUGUCAGAUGUAUGUCUUCUUUUUAGUACGUAAGAAGACAUUAAAUGUGUUGGAACUUGACUUUUCUUCAGUGACUUUGCUGGGUAGAAUAAAUGUUUCUGCUAUUCACAACAUUACUCACCAUGUGUAGUCCUCAUUAUUAGCAUAGUUUCCGUUACUUUAAGUCUAGACAGUUAGUAAAAAGAAAAAACCCCAGCCAACCCUUGAUUAUUGCAUUUGCCAAUUUCCGUGGUAUAAAUGCUCCAACCCUGGGCAGUUUCAAGCUGUUAAUAUGAGGUUGUUACCAAACCAGAGUCAGAUCAAGCCAAGUGAAACCUCUGAGCUUCCCACAGUGAGACCAUGGGCACUGCUUCCUUUCCUGGUUUCCUGGCAUGUGUGUCGUUGGUGCCAGCGCUGGGCUCUGUGCCCUGUAUUCCUUCUCUCCCAGCAGUCCCAUCCUUGCUGCUCUGAGGUCUUAUAAGACAGGGCUCAGGAGUCAGAAAUCUUGAUGUUUGUGUGAAAGAUCCCACCAGCCUUCCCUGUCCGUGGUUGGGUGACUCUGUCCAGAGGCAUGGAACCUUGGUGUCCCGGGCCUUCCACUGUCCUUUGCUGACAGACUCUGGGGCCUGCUUAUGCCAGGAUGUUCACAUACUGACCUGGUCACUACUUGAGGGGACCACUGGCUUGUUUCCUUUAAGACCUUCCUUUAAUGUCCUUAUAAUUUUAGAAUGUGUGAUCUCAUGGGACGGGGCCCACUCCCUUUCCCUGUCUUUCCUCUUUGGCUGGCCUCCUCAGGCCCAGGUGGUUUCUCACCUUGAGCAAUAGGAGGGCCCUGGGUGCCUGACAGGGUGGAUGUUUUUCCUGCAUCAUCAAGGGAGGCUGAAAGGAAUGUGGCCCACGUGUGUGGGGGUGAGGAAAUGGUGAGGUAUCAGAGCUGGGUUCCCAUCACACCAGGCCUGUGUCCUAUAUCCACCAGUGUGUGGUACCAGCGACAGAUUUCAAGAGUUUCUACCUUUACUUUCUUGUUGUUGUUUUUUGUUUUGUUUUGUUUUAUAAGUUUAUUUUAGUUUAUUUAUUUAUUUUUGGCUGUGUUGGGUCUUCGCCGCUGCGUGCGGGGUUUCUCUAGUUGGCGGCGAGUGGGGGCUACUCUUCGUUGCAGUGCGCUGGCUUCUCAUUGUGGUGGCUUCUCAUUGUAGAGCAUGGGCUCUAGGUGUGCGGGCUUCAGUAGUUGUGGCAUGCGGGCUCUAGAGCACAGGCUUAGUAGUUAUGGCGCACGGGCUUAGUUGCUCCGUGGCAUGUGGGAUCUUCCUGGACCAGGGAUCAAACCCAGGUCCCCUGCAUUGACAGGCGGGUUCUCAACAACUGCGCCAUCAGGGAAGCCCGCUGUUGAUGCUUUGACUCUUCACUUCUGGCCCUGGUUCUCACCCAUUCCCUUCCACUGCUCCCUUUGCAGUGCUGUCAACAUUGACCUGCACUUAAAGUGUUGGGAUAUGUGCAUGUGUCCUUAAAUACUCCUUGUAGUCCAGCUGCUGUGAUGCAUUCAGACAUUCUGGGUCUGGACACAGCCUUCUACUCAUUGCUCACCAGUCACCAGUAGCCAGGCUUUGUUGAAAGGUAAGUUGAAGACCCUUCCUCGUGUUCUUGCCCAUCGUCUGUGCUCUGCGAUCAGAUGAGCUUCCCAAGCUCAGCUCUGCACAGCAGGCCUUCCUCACACAGGCUCUGGCCCCAUGCAUCUCAGCAAUCUUAAGGACUUACUGCUGGGUGUGUCUGAGACACAUUUCUGCUGGGGCCACGUUUAUUGGCAUGUCUCUCCUUCCAGGUUUUCAACAUGGAGCCCAGGAUGAGGAGGCGCUUUCAGAGCAAGGUGAUGCAGUUAUAGAGUCACAGGUCAAGACUCCAAAGCCAGGUCCAUCUAUCCAGAAGUCUCAUUCUUUUCCUUUUUUUAAAAUUAAUUUAUUUAUCUUUUCAUUUCUGGCUGCAUUGGGUAUUCGUUGCUGCACACAGGCUGUCUCUAGUUGCAGCACUCAGGGGCUACUCUUCAUUGUGGCGGCUUCUCUUGUUGUGGAGCACUGGCUCUAGGCACAUGGGCUUCAUUAGUUGUGGCAUCAGGGCUCAGUAGUUGUGGCUCACGGGUUCUAGAGUGCCUGCUCAGCAGUCAUGGCAUUGGCUUAGUGGCUCCGCGGCAUGUGGGAUCUUCCCGGACCAGGGCUCGAACCCAUGUCCCCUGCAUUGGCAGGCAGAUUCUUAACCACUGCGCACCCAGGGAAGUCCCAGAAGUCUCAUUCUUAAUGUGAUGUGUGGCCCAGUCUUGAAAGACAUUUUGCACCUGGUUGAGUAUGAUGGGACACAGCGCAAGCAAGAGGUGUACCCGUGUGUGGUGAGUCUUUCCCAGCACCAAAAGGAGCCCAGUAGGAAGAAACUCCCCAGAUGGGAUGAAGGGAGGACUUCAUUGGUGAAGAACUGCAGCUUUCACGUGGCAGAAAGGACCUUGACGUGCUGAACGGGAGGGAAGGACUUUCCGGCCAGUUCAGGCCUUCUCCAGAACCAGGCCCCUCACACGAGGGAAGACACACAGCGACAUGGAGGGCAGGGAGACCUUUGAAAGUGGAUAGAAUGAUUACAAGUGCAGUGAAUGUGGGAAAACCUUUAGCCAUGAACACAUACUUGUUGAGCACCAGAAAAACCAUUGCAGCGAAAGUGGGAAGACUUUAAUCAGACCGUUCCAUGUGGUUCAGCACCAGAAAAUCCACACUGAAACGAUGCUAUAUGAGCACCUUGGAUGUGGAGGGUUCUUUACACGAAGAUCUGGCCUCAUUGAACACCAGAGAGCUCACACUAGGCCAAUGCCUUAUGAGUGCAGCCAGUGUGGGAAGCGCGUUAAAAGACCACUUUACACUCGUUUUUCAUCAGAGCGUUCACAUGGGAGAAAAGCCAUAUAAAUGCAGUGAAUGUGGGAAAAUCUGGUCUGAUUUAGUGCUGGGAAGUACUGCUAUGCAGGUGUUUAAAAUUUUUUUAAAUUGUGGUACAAUGCUUGUAACAUAGCAUUUACAGUCUUAACCAUAUUUAACUGUAAGUUUAUCGGUAAUAAUACAUUCACCUUUUGUGCAGACACAUAUUCAGAAAUCUUCAUCUUAUAAAACUGAAAGUAAACCCAUUAGACAACAACUCCUCAUCCCCGCUCUCUUAUCCCCUGACAACUAUUCUACUUUCUGUCUAUGAAUUUGUCCACUCUGGGUACCUUAUAUAAGAGUCAUAAAGUUUUUCUCCUCUUGUGGCUGGCUUAUUUCACUGAAGACAAUGUCCUCAAGUUUCAUCUGCGUCCUAGCAUGUGUCAGAAUUUCCGUCUUUAUUGAGUGAGUAGUGCUCCAUUUUAUGUAUAUGCUACUUUUUCUGUAUCCCUUCAUCAGUGGGCUCUUGGGUUGCUUUCACUAUUUGGCUAUUGCGUAUAAUGCUGUUGUAAGCACGAUUGCACAAAUAUUUCUUUGAGGCCCUGGUUUCUGUCCUUUUUAGGUGUGUUUCCAGAUGGAGAAUUGUUGGAUCAUUAUUUCAAUAUGUAAAUUUCUUGAGGAACUAAGGGGCUAUUUUCCAUAGUAGCUGUACCAUUUUACACCGAUACAGCUAUAUCAUGUAAGGUGCAUGUGCAACUUCAUUCUUUUAUGUAUGGUUAUCUAGUUUUUUCAACACCAUCUGCUGAAAAAACUCAUUUCUCUUUGAAUGGUCUCUGCACCCUUUAAAAACAUCUGAGUAUGUAUGCGAAGGUUUGUUUCUGUGCUGUUUUAUUCCAUUCUCUUAUAUGUUUGUGUAUGUCAAUAACACAGCAUUUUGAUAUAUACUUUUUAAGUUUUUCAAAGUGGUUUGACUCAGUUUUGAAGCCCUGGCAGGAGAAGGACUGUCCGUUCCCCUUCUAGAACAGCUGAUGAAGCCCACAACCCCAACCACUUUCCUUAUCAGACUCUCAUUCUCUGGACUACCAGACACCAAGGUGUCAGACAUUUAGUGAUAGCUCCUAUGUUCUGGAACCCAUACAAUUAUUCAAAAUAGCCAAUCCACAGACAGCUCAUGAAACCUAGCUAAUCCCAUCACUCUUGCCAAAUUUUAACUGCCCACCACAGCUCCAGCUUUCUGUUAAUCCUGUCCCUGGGCUCAGCCCUCUUUGUUGCCCUGUCUAACAUCUUUCAUUCUGAGCUGUAAGUAACAAACAGUUCUGUCUUUCAUGUAUCCCAGUAUCAUUGUGCUGUGUAUUCCACCAUCAAGAACCUUUUGAUCUUACAGAACAACUCCACACCCAGCAGGGUAUUAGGAGUACGGCAGAUGUUGGACAGUCUUCAGCCACUAGUCCGUCUCCAUUCAGCACCAGGAAGCUCACACUGGAGAAAGACGUUACACGUGCAGCCACUGUGCUCUUGGCUUUUUAACAUAAUAACAGAUGUAAGCUCUGGAGAUUAGCUCCUGUGAGGGAGAUAUCCCCCAGAAACUGCAUCUCGUACAUCCAGACAUCCUCACUAGGGAGAUUCACGGUAAGGGCCAGGUUUGUGGGAAACUGGUGAACUCUGUUGCACUUUCAGACCUGCCUGGGGCCGUCACUGGAGUUCUGUCACUGCCCAUGUGUAUUAUAGAAGCCAGUCUCCUGGUAUUAGCUGGCAGGGAGUAUGGUCACUAUAGUUAGUAAUACUGUAUUGGGUGUUUAAAUGUUGCUAAGAGUAAAUCAUAGAAGUUCUCAACACAAAAAAACUUAUGUAACUAUGAGGAAAACGUGAAGUAGACCUAUUGUGAUCAUUUUGCAAUAUAAACCAAUACUGAAUCAUUAUGUUAUACAUCUGAAACUAAUAAAUGUUAUAUGCUAAUUAUAUCUCAAUUUUUUUUAGAAAGCAGGGAGAACAGAUUGCUGUAGUCUCUUGCUUUUCCUGGAGUAUUCGCCAGCCACUUGAGCCCUUUGGUGAGACCUCAUGCCCACCCCUUUGAUUUGUUCAGGUGUGGACAUCACCCACUUUGGACAGAGGACUCCAUCCGCUGUUGGCUGGCAACUUACAGAGGUUUCCCUUGUUUCAGGCUCAUUAUUGAUUGUCUUAUGAGAUUCUUAACAGAUUUUUUUGAGCCUCCAUUUUACCCACCCUAGGAACUGCUCACCUUGCUGGUUUUUGCGAUAAAGUUAUUAUUGGGUGUUUUUCUUUGUUUCUUUCUUUUUUAUUGAAGUACAGUUGAUUUGCAGUGUUGUGUUUAUUACUGGUAUACAGCAAAGGAAUUCAGAUAUAUGUAUUUUUUUUUUCCAUAUGGUUUAUCAUAGGAUUU